RNAcentral lists this transfer-messenger RNA (360 nucleotides) under Candidatus Altarchaeales archaeon. It matches the Rfam family "transfer-messenger RNA". Rfam says of the family: Bacterial tmRNA, also known as 10Sa RNA or SsrA, is named for its dual tRNA and mRNA-like properties. Its role is to liberate the mRNA from a stalled ribosome. Lineage: Archaea; Nanobdellati; Candidatus Altarchaeota; Candidatus Altarchaeia; Candidatus Altarchaeales. The record is from RNAcentral.
GGGGGUGAAUUGGAUUCGACGGGGCGUAAUUGGUUAAGAACUCAGCCUGUGGACGAUCACGAACCACAUAAAAAUUGUGAUAAACCAUAAUUGGCAAAUCGUCAAUGUUAGCCUAUAUGGAGAGUAAGCUCUCCAAGUCACCUGCUAAGACACUCUCCGUGAGUGCUUAAAGCUGACCCAGCGGCAUGGUUGGAAACAGGAAUGCCGUACCUUAAACCGAACCCUGAUUAGACAGGGACGUCUGGGGGCAGGCGGAAAAUAAAAUACCCACUAGGAACUACCUACCGUUUACAUAUGGCUGUGUAAACCUCUUAAUGGAUGCGGUUCGGACGCGGGAAUCGAAGCCCGCCACCUCCACCA